Molecule: long non-coding RNA, 1437 nt
Filed under: Coturnix japonica (Japanese quail)
Lineage: Eukaryota; Metazoa; Chordata; Aves; Galliformes; Phasianidae
Description: lncRNA (ENSCJPG00005017722.1)
Source: RNAcentral
AAAAUAAUUAACACAACAAUAAACAAAUGUAAUUGAAAUAAAGCUAAUGGACUUCACAUAGCAUAGUGCAGCGCUGCAGAAACUGCUUAGGUAAGUAGUGUAAACAAGACAAAAGGAACCAGCAGAACUGCUGAGGAAAUUUCUGAGUCAGUAUAGGGCUGUUUGAGAUAGGAAGAAUGAGACAGUUCCCCACUAAGGACUGAGAGCAGCAGAAAUAAUACAGUUGCACUGUGGAAAGCAUCUGUGAGGAGAGCUUAAUUUGGGAAGCCACCAAUAGCUUUCAUGUGAUCUGUAUGAGGCCGCCUGCCUGCUUAGCCCACAUGGAAAGAAACCCCUGAGGACAAAAAAUCUGGAGCUCCAGCCCCUGCACAGCACGCCCAGGGCUGGCUCACAUACCCUGAAGCAGCUGUUGCCUCACCAGUGAUUUUCCCCAUCAAAGCUGCUUCCCAUCACUGAGCUCCUCCAGCCUGUCACAGUUCCCACCAGCUCAGCAAUUCUCAGGAGUAUUCCCUCACUUGUUCUGUACUAGAAAGAAUCAUGUUGCUGGGGUUACCCGGUGCUCCUGGCACAUUAUGACAAAGUACAGGACUAUUAAGGCAUUGCUGGGAGAUUCAGAGGGAUCAACAGGUGGGAGAGGAAAGCUGAGCAAGCCCCAGGGUUCCAGAGGGCAUCCCACCACUUUAGAGUGAGAGAGCAGCCAGAGAGGCAUGCUGCCUGCACAUCAUGCUCCUGUGAACAUCUUUGCAGGAUCUAGACAAGGCUGUGACUUGCCAAACAAAUUAAUUGUAAAACAAAUACAGUACCCUGAAGAGUUAAAGAUCUGAAUUCUGCUUCCUGCUAGUCAGUUUAAUUACCCAGCUACACGUCUUAAAUCAAAACCACAACCGAGUCCUUCUUUGCAACAGCCUCUUUCCCUUUCUUGCUGCUGACAGGACCAGACUCAGCAGCAUCUUCCAUGCUAAGCAGCCACCUCCAGCCCCUGCUUCCAGGCUGUGCUCCUUAGUUCCCAUGCCAAGCAUCAGAAACAGGAGGGGAAAAGAAGACUUGCACAGAUGUCUGCUUGCAUGUGUGGGUUGUUACACCCAGACACCAGAUAAUAUACAUUAAGAAUGAAACAUUUAUUCUUUUAUUUUAUGUUGUGCCAAAAAGUGGGGAGCAGGUGCAUUGAUGUGAGCUGUCUGUAUCUUCUUGUGCGUUUAAUGAAUUAAAUCUAGAAUCUCUUUCUCUCUCUCUCUCUCUCUUUUUAAUCUUUCUAAACCAGGUUUCUCUGGACAAAUGUUUUUUUUUGUUUGUUUGUUUUUGUUUUUGUUUUUUUUUUCCUGCUUCAGAUGGCUAUACAGCUACAGUAGAUGAUUAUACAGCUAUAAUCUCAAAAGAUUUUCAGGGGUAGUUCUAGUGUAAGUAGAUCUCUCUUCUGCACACAACCUUCAUUCCUGC